AUAUAGAUUAAGUUAUUAAGGGCGCACGGUGGAUGCCUUGGCACUAGAAGCCGAUGAAGGACGUUACUAACGACGAUAUGCUUUGGGGAGCUGUAAGUAAGCUUUGAUCCAGA
This 113-nucleotide ribosomal RNA is filed under the name Staphylococcus delphini. Its description in RNAcentral is "partial 23S ribosomal RNA". It matches the Rfam family "Bacterial large subunit ribosomal RNA", at positions 1 to 108 of the family's 2925-position model. Lineage: Bacteria; Bacillati; Bacillota; Bacilli; Caryophanales; Staphylococcaceae. The record is from RNAcentral.